CCCUCACCUCUGGUGAACCGUUGACCUCCGGGUCUACAUAACAAACAUCAGUGAUAAAGAACGUCUUUAUAUUUUAACAAAAUAAAACUUUCAACAACGGAUCUCUUGGCUCUCGCAUCGAUGAAGAACGCAGCGAAAUGCGAUAAGUAAUGUGAAUUGCAGAAUUCAGUGAAUCAUCGAAUCUUUGAACGCACCUUGCGCCUUUUGGUAUUCCGAAAGGCAUGCCUGUUUGAGUGUCAUGAAAUCUCAAUCCCCCCGGGUUUUCUGAACCCGAGGUGGACUUGGACAUGGGCGCUGCCGUCUUGUACGGCUCGCCUUAAAUGAAUCAGUGGGAUCUUCAGCAUCCGUGGCAGACGUAAUAAGUUUCGUCUCGUCCCUUGCUGUGAGGACCGCUCAUAACCUGCCAUCGCGCAACCAAUUUUGACUCUGACCUCAAAUCAGGUAGGACUACCCGCUGAACUUAAGCAUAUCAAUAAGCGGAGGAAAAGAAACUAACAAGGAUUCCCCUAGUAACGGCGAGUGAACCGGGAAAAGCUCAAAUUUGAAAUCUGGCGUCCUCAGGGCGUCCGAGUUGUAAUCUAUAGAAACGUUUUCCGUGCCGGACCGUGUCCAAGUCCCUUGGA
This 623-nucleotide ribosomal RNA is filed under the name uncultured fungus. RNAcentral's name for it is "eukaryotic LSU rRNA". The stretch from base 86 to 239 matches the Rfam family "5.8S ribosomal RNA". Lineage: Eukaryota; Fungi. The record is from RNAcentral.